CACAUCUACUUUUACAGGGGCAUCCUCAUUUGAAGAAGCUGAGUAUUGGUUAGUAGAGACAGAGAAGACCUUUGCAAUAGUUGGGGUGGUUCCCGGAUAUAAGCUUAUACUUGCCACCUAUAUGCUUGUGGGUGAGGUAAGUCGGUGGUGGCAGCUGAAGCAUGCCACCCUGCUUGUUCCAAUCACUUGGAAAUAGUUUCUA
Molecule: long non-coding RNA, 202 nt
Filed under: Carica papaya (papaya)
Lineage: Eukaryota; Viridiplantae; Streptophyta; Magnoliopsida; Brassicales; Caricaceae
Description: long non-coding RNA (CPAP_LNC002597)
Source: RNAcentral